Molecule: ribosomal RNA, 1521 nt
Filed under: Triticum aestivum (bread wheat)
Lineage: Eukaryota; Viridiplantae; Streptophyta; Magnoliopsida; Poales; Poaceae
Description: partial small subunit ribosomal RNA
Source: RNAcentral
AUGCCUUUUGGUUUAUGUAAUGCACCUGCUACCUUUCAAAGAUGCAUGAUGGCUAUAUUCUCUGACUUUUGUGAAAAGAUUUGUGAGGUUUUCAUGGACGAUUUCUCCGUCUAUGGAUCCUCUUUUGAUGAUUGCUUGAGCAACCUUGAUCGAGUUUUGCAGAGAUGUGAAGAAACUAAUCUUGUCUUGAAUUGGGAAAAGUGCCACUUUAUGGUUAAUGAAGGUAUUGUCUUAAGGCAUAAGGUUUCUGAAAGAUGUAUUGAGGUUGAUAAAGCCAAGGUUGAUGCUAUUGAAAAGAUGCCAUGUCCCAAGGACAUCAAAGGUAUAAGAAGUUUCCUUGGUCAUGCCGGUUUUUAUAGGAGGUUCAUUAAGAACUUCUCAAAAAUUUCUCGGCCUCUGACUAAUUUAUUACAAAAAGAUAUACCAUUUGUCUUUGAUGAUGAUUGUGUAGAAGCAUUUGAAAUACUUAAGAAAGCACUGAUCUCUGCACCUAUUGUUCAGCCACCUGAUUGGAAUUCACCUUUUGAAAUUAUGUGUGAUGCUAGUGAUUAUGCUGUAGGUGCUGUUCUAGGGCAAAGAGUUGAUAAGAAAUUAAAUGUUAUUCAAUAUGCUAGUAAAACUCUAGACAAUGCUCACAGAAAUUAUGCUACUACUGAAAAAGAAUUCCUAGCAGUUGUAUUUGCUUGUGAUAAGUUCAGGCCUUAUAUUGUUGAUUCUAAAGUAACUAUUCACACUGAUCAUGCUGCUAUUAAAUAUCUUAUGGAAAAGAAAGAUGCUAAACCUAGACUUAUUAGAUGGGUUCUCUUGAUACAAGAAUUUGAUUUGCAUAUUAUUGAUAGAAAGGGAGCUGAGAACCUCGUUGCAGACAACUUGUCUAGGUUAGAAAAUGUUCUUGAUGACCCACUACCUAUUGAUGAUAGCUUUCCUGAUGAGCAAUUAAAUGUCAUAAAUACUUCUCAUACUGCUCCAUGGUAUGCUGAUUAUGCUAAUUACAUCGUUGCUAAAUUUAUACCACCUAGUUUCACAUACCAGCAAAAGAAAAAGUUUUUCUACGAUUUGAGACAUUACUUCUGGGAUGACCCACAUCUUUAUAAAGAAGGAGUAGAUGGUGUUAUUAGACGUUGUGUACCUGAGCAUGAACAGGAACAGAUCCUACGCAAGUGUCACUCCGAAGCUUAUGGAGGACACCACACUGGAGAUAGAACUGCACAUAAGGUAUUGCAAUCCGGUUUUUAUUGGCCUACUCUCUUCAAGGAUGCCCGUAAGUUUGUCUUGUCUUGUGAUGAAUGUCAAAGAAUUGGUAAUAUUAGUAGACGUCAAGAAAUUCCUAUGAAUUAUUCACUUGUUAUUGAACCAUUUGAUGUUUGGGGCUUUGAUUAUAUGGGACCUUUUCCUGCCUCUAAUGGAUACACACAUAUUUUAGUUGUUGUUGAUUACGUUACUAAGUGUGUAGAAGCUAUCCCAACUAGUAGUGCUGAUCAUAACACCUCUAUUAAAAUGCUUAAAGAGGUUAUUUUUUGA